RNAcentral lists this small RNA (564 nucleotides) under Pongo abelii (Sumatran orangutan). RNAcentral's name for it is "processed transcript". Lineage: Eukaryota; Metazoa; Chordata; Mammalia; Primates; Hominidae. The record is from RNAcentral.
AUGAUGAUUCAGAUCUGUACUCUCCCAGAUACUCGUUUUCUGAAGACACAAAAUCUCCCCUUUCCGUGCCUCGCUCAAAAAGUGAGAUGAGCUACAUUGAUGGUGAGAAGGUAGUCAAGAGGUCGGCCACACUACCCCUCCCAGCCCGCUCUUCCUCACUGAAGACAAGCCCAGAAAGAAAUGACUGGGAACCCCCAGAUAAGAAAGUAGAUACAAGAAAAUAUCGUGCAGAGCCCAAAAGCAUUUACGAAUAUCAGCCGGGCAAGUCUUCCGUUCUGACCAACGAAAAGAUGGUAAUGUGCAUAUUAAAGUUUUUUUGUCUCACCCUGCCCAUGUUCUUUAAUCAGAAUACAUCGUGCAGUUGGAUUACAUUCUUUCCCCUUGAGAUAGACUUGCUUUGUUUUGAAGAUAAUGACAAAAAUGAAGUACUUUUACCCUUUUCAUUUUUGCAGGUGUUCAUAAAAUAAGUCCCACGAGUCUGCUUUUAAAAAAUCCUUUUUUUGUGGCUCUGUUGCUUUUUUUGUGCAUGGUUUUAACUAAUAUUAAUUUUUCUACUAACAUAAA